Molecule: ribosomal RNA, 413 nt
Filed under: bacterium enrichment culture clone ALO1_GLFRUDD03F5WF2
Lineage: Bacteria
Also listed under: 6 other names
Description: bacterial SSU rRNA
Rfam family: Bacterial small subunit ribosomal RNA
Source: RNAcentral
GAGUUUGAUCCUGGCUCAGAUUGAACGCUGGCGGCAUGCCUUACACAUGCAAGUCGAACGGCAGCACGGGAGCUUGCUCCUGGUGGCGAGUGGCGAACGGGUGAGUAAUGCAUCGGAACGUAUCCUGGAGUGGGGGAUAACGUAGCGAAAGUUACGCUAAUACCGCAUAUUCUGUGAGCAGGAAAGCGGGGGACCUUCGGGCCUCGCGCUCUUGGAGCGGCCGAUGUCGGAUUAGCUAGUUGGUGAGGUAAAGGCUCACCAAGGCGACGAUCCGUAGCAGGUCUGAGAGGAUGAUCUGCCACACUGGAACUGAGACACGGUCCAGACUCCUACGGGAGGCAGCAGUGGGGAAUUUUGGACAAUGGGGGCAACCCUGAUCCAGCCAUGCCGCGUGAGUGAAGAAGGCCUCGGUU